ACAGCAGUAGCCGCGGGAAUACGUAGGUGGCAAGCGUUGUCCGGAAUUAUUGGGCGUAAAGGGCUCGCAGGCGGUUUCUUAAGUCUGAUGUGAAAGCCCCCGGCUCAACCGGGGAGGGUCAUUGGAAACUGGGAAACUUGAGUGCAGAAGAGGAGAGUGGAAUUCCACGUGUAGCGGUGAAAUGCGUAGAGAUGUGGAGGAACACCAGUGGCGAAGGCGACUCUCUGGUCUGUAACUGACGCUGAGGAGCGAAAGCGUGGGGAGCGAACAGGAUUAGAUACCCCCGUAGUCCCUGUCUCUUAUAU
This 305-nucleotide ribosomal RNA is filed under the name uncultured bacterium. RNAcentral's name for it is "partial 16S ribosomal RNA". It matches the Rfam family "Bacterial small subunit ribosomal RNA", at positions 506 to 809 of the family's 1533-position model. The record is from RNAcentral.